CUAUCUUGGAAUAUGGCUUUGAAGUGCAAGACCAUCCAUAAUUCCGUACUGCAGAGAGCAUUUGUUUGACCAACCUAUGAACCACCGCGAGAGAUGCUGGCACAGAUACGUUGUCUUGGUAUGCUCUGUUUUUUGGAUCUAAGGUCAAUCUGAGAGAACAGAUUCCCUGCUCAUGGGCAUGAUGAAUAGACCAGCACAGAUUUAUCUCUUAUUACCACAUAGGGGUGCUUGCUUCUUUCUACGUUAUAAAUUCUUUGCUGGCUGCUAUGUCCCUCACUCUUAUGGGGGAAGGAUGGUCUUUGCAGGCUUUUCUGCCUUUUUAGCAGAAAAGGCUGUCUGAGAUCUGCUAAUGGAACAGUACAACCACCUGACAGCUCACCCUUGGCAGGACUUGGCACUCUGCAAGAAUUCAGUGUUCUCCUUCAUAAACUCUGAAAGAAGAGCUCUAAAGAAAGUGUCAUAUUCAGACACUACUCCCCCUCACACCCCACCCGAGAGCUCCAACACCUCAUUAGACGGUAACUUUAACAGCAGGGAGGAAUAAUGGGCUUCUGAAGAUUGCCAAUGAGCAAAGAAUAGGCCUAUGGUUGCUGUGCCAGCAUGGAAAUCCAAGAAUGUGGAUACGAUCCAGCUCUUCCACAAACUUUUGUUUUGCACUUAGGCAAGCAAGCAUCGCUCCAACUCCUUCUGCAGUCAAUGGAACAACUCCAGUUGACAGCUCGAACUGGUUGUAUCCCUGCCUCCUUGGAUCAACCUCAGCAAGAGGGAGAUAUACCAGUGUGGGCCCAGCUGUUGUCAGAUGCAGCAAUCAAGUGCCUGGCUCUCAAGGUACUUAGAGCAGCAGUAGCACCUUGUAUUCCAGGCAUGUGUGGCUCUAAAUUCAAGCUUGCACCUGAACAGCUCCCUCGCCUGGCAAGAGCAGUCUGUUCCUUCCCAUCGUCAGCUCUUUUCGUGGAUCACAGGCUCGUCUUCUGCCCAGCAACAGUUUGCAGCAAGUUUAAUGUAAGCAUCUUAUCCUGAGAUCAGCAGCAGGAGCUUACAGCGUGAUUUGCAAGGAAAAAAGCUUUACGAAGAUUAAAACGCCUUUAGAUGUCUGACACUGGGGCCCCAUACUGGCAGCAUCACACGAGAUGCAACUUUUAAGCAGUUUAAGCAAGGCAUGUUUUUGUUUUACAAAGGCAGCACGCAGUCUGUUAUUAUUAAUAUUUUGCACGAGAGACGUGGCAGUUUCCCAGUGCUAUGCCAAACAAUACAAUUUGAUUGCUUCUGCCUCUUGUCAAGCCUCCAACUGUAAAUAUGCAACGUGAAACGAAGUCCAACCCGACAGAUAAGGGUGUGCUGAGAUAGAUAGUUACAAAAAUACCAGCAUAAUUAAGGAUUGGUAUCAAUACCAGAAACAAAAUAAGCCCAGAGUUUUGAAGGUUCAAUUAACACUGCGGGAUUGUAAGACUACC
This 1454-nucleotide long non-coding RNA is filed under the name Phasianus colchicus (ring-necked pheasant). RNAcentral describes it as "lncRNA (ENSPCLG00000001142.1)". Lineage: Eukaryota; Metazoa; Chordata; Aves; Galliformes; Phasianidae. The record is from RNAcentral.